Molecule: ribosomal RNA, 217 nt
Filed under: uncultured fungus
Lineage: Eukaryota; Fungi
Description: partial small subunit ribosomal RNA
Rfam family: Eukaryotic small subunit ribosomal RNA (bases 93-217)
Source: RNAcentral
GGCCUGGCUGGGCGGUCUUGCCGAAAGGUAAGCACUGCUCUGGUCGGGCCUUUCCUUCUGGGGAACCUGCGUGCGCUUAACUGAGUGCGCAGGGGAUCCAGGACUUUUACUUUGAAAAAAUUAGAGUGUUUAAAGCAGGCCUACGCUUGAAUACAUUAGCAUGGAAUAAUAGAAUAGGGCUCCGGUUCUAUUUUGUUGGUUUUCAGCUACCGAAGCA